Molecule: long non-coding RNA, 699 nt
Filed under: Drosophila guanche
Lineage: Eukaryota; Metazoa; Arthropoda; Insecta; Diptera; Drosophilidae
Source: RNAcentral
GAUGUGCUUACUUUUUUAUCAGCCAUCCCUAACACUUUUCAGAUGCUUGUCAAAAAAAAGCAUCUGAAUAAAAGGUUUAAUUAAACCACCAGCGAGAAGAAAAGGAAUGUAAGUACGCUCUACAAUUAAGUUUUUCGGUUGAUAGAAUGUGGCAAUUCGAACAGUCUACGAACAGUCUACCUGUGGCACUUGCCACAGCCAUUUGGGCGGUCCAAAAUCUAAUUGAAAUCUCUAUUCUCAGACAAUGGAUGAUGGGCGUCGUGAGGACUUUGAGAAAGCUUUAAGCGUGCUCGAAAACCGGCACCCAGGGGAGCAGCGGCCGCCACGGUGCGAGCCCAGAGUGCAGCCGGUAAAUGGAAUUGUGCAGCCCCCGGUGAUGCCGCCACCCAAUCGUAAGGGAAGGGUAACCAAUUUCUUGUUAAAACUGAGAACCGCUGUGAAUGCGUUGUCGCGCAACCCUUCCUCGCUGCACUUUCGCCAACCUGUCGAUGCUGUGAAGCUGAAGAUCAGGGACUACCACGAAAAAAUCGCAAACCCCAUGGACUUGAACACAAUCAAGAAAAGAUUUGAGUACACAUACUACUGGGGCGGUGCAGACGUCCUGGAAGACAUUCUAUUGAUUUUCGAAAACUGCAGAGUCUACAACAGUCCGGACUCGCCCGUGUUUAAAGCUGCUGUCAACCUGUGCGAGUGCUUUUG